RNAcentral lists this long non-coding RNA (210 nucleotides) under Ananas comosus (pineapple). Its description in RNAcentral is "long non-coding RNA (ACOM_LNC038319)". The record is from RNAcentral. Lineage: Eukaryota; Viridiplantae; Streptophyta; Magnoliopsida; Poales; Bromeliaceae.
UUCUUUUCUUUUUUUUUUUUUUGAGAGAUAGGUAGCACGCUAUCCGAUUCAUUUAUUUCAUUUAGAAAUAAACUUAGCUGAAAAUGUGAAUCAAUUAGGAUUUGAAUUUAGGUCUCGGAUACCAACCACCAAGUCCUUUGUCACUUGCUCUAGGAACGGUCGGUAAGUUCGAUCUUUGUUAAGAAGGUGAGAUUGGGACUCAAAGAGUUG